GCUGGUAUUGAUGGAUGAUAUAGGUCUCACUCUGCUGGUAUUGAUGGAUGGCAUAGGUCUCACACUCUGCUGGUAUUGAUGGAUGGUAUUGGUCUCACACUCUGCUGGUAUUGAUGGAUGGUAUAGGUCUCACACUCUGCUGGUAUUGAUGGAUGGUACAGGUCUCACUCUGCUGGUAUUGAUGGAUGGUAUAGGUCUCACUCUGCUGGUAUUGAUGGAUGGUAUAGGUCUCACACUCUGCUGGUAUUGAUGGAUGGUACAGGUCUCACUCUGCUGGUAUUGAUGGCUGGUAAAGGUCUCACACUCUGCUGGUAUUGAUGGCUGGUAUAGGUCUCACACUCUGCUGGUAUUGAUGGAUGGUAUAGGUCUCACUCUGCUGGUAUUGAUGGAUGGUAUAGGUCUCACACUCUGCUGGUAUUGAUGGUUGGUAUAGGUCUCACUCUGCUGGUAUUGAUGGAUGGUAUAGGUCUCACUCUGCUGGUAUUGAUGGAUGGUAUAGGUCUCACUCUGCUGGUAUUGAUGGAUGGUAUAGGUCUCACUCUGCUGGUAUUGAUGGCUGGUAUAGGUCUCACUCUGCUGGUAUUGAUGGAUGGUAUAGGUCUCACUCUGCUGGUAUUGAUGGCUGGUAUAGGUCUCACACUCUGCUGGUAUUGAUGGAUGGUAUAGGUCUCACUCUGCUGGUAUUGAUGGAUGGUAUAGGUCUCACACUCUGCUGGUAUUGAUGGCUGGUAUAGGUCUCACUCUGCUGGUAUUGAUGGAUGGUAUAGGUCUCACUCUGCUGGUAUUGAUGGAUGGUAUAGGUCUCACUCUGCUGGUAUUGAUGGAUGGUAUAGGUCUCACACUCUGCUGGUAUUGAUGGCUGGUAUAGGUCUCACUCUGCUGGUAUUGAUGGCUGUGUAGGUACUGAAGUCAGAGUUCUGGACUCUCUUCUUCUUCUUCUUUGGUCUCCUCUGUCCCUGACGGAUAUCCAACGAGGCGUAAAACAG
This 986-nucleotide long non-coding RNA is filed under the name Salmo salar (Atlantic salmon). RNAcentral describes it as "lncRNA (ENSSSAG00000088788.1)". The record is from RNAcentral. Lineage: Eukaryota; Metazoa; Chordata; Actinopteri; Salmoniformes; Salmonidae.